RNAcentral lists this ribosomal RNA (429 nucleotides) under Acidobacteriota bacterium. RNAcentral describes it as "Acidobacteria bacterium partial 16S ribosomal RNA". It matches the Rfam family "Bacterial small subunit ribosomal RNA", at positions 355 to 776 of the family's 1533-position model. The record is from RNAcentral. Lineage: Bacteria; Pseudomonadati; Acidobacteriota.
UGGGGAAUUUUGGACAAUGGGGGAAACCCUGAUCCAGCCAUCCCGCGUGUGCGAUGAAGGCCUUCGGGUUGUAAAGCACUUUUGGCAGGAAAGAAACGUCAUGGGUUAAUACCCCGUGAAACUGACGGUACCUGCAGAAUAAGCACCGGCUAACUACGUGCCAGCAGCCGCGGUAAUACGUAGGGUGCAAGCGUUAAUCGGAAUUACUGGGCGUAAAGCGUGCGCAGGCGGUUCGGAAAGAAAGAUGUGAAAUCCCAGAGCUCAACUUUGGAACUGCUUUUGUAACUACCGGGCUAGAGUGUGUCAGAGGGGGGUGGAAUUCCGCGUGUAGCAGUGAAAUGCGUAGAUAUGCGGAGAAACACCGAUGGCGAAGGCAGCCUCCUGGGAUAACACUGACGCUCAUGCACGAAAGCGUGGGGAGCAAACAGG